AGUGAACGCUGGCGGUAGGCCUAACACAUGCAAGUCGAACGGCAGCACAGUAAGAGCUUGCUCUUACGGGUGGCGAGUGGCGGACGGGUGAGGAAUACAUCGGAAUCUACUUUUUCGUGGGGGAUAACGUAGGGAAACUUACGCUAAUACCGCAUACGACCUACGGGUGAAAGCAGGGGAUCUUCGGACCUUGCGCGAUUGAAUGAGCCGAUGUCGGAUUAGCUAGUUGGCGGGGUAAAGGCCCACCAAGGCGACGAUCCGUAGCUGGUCUGAGAGGAUGAGCAGCCACACUGGAACUGAGACACGGUCCAGACUCCUACGGGAGGCAGCAGUGGGGAAUAUUGGACAAUGGGCGCAAGCCUGAUCCAGCCAUACCGCGUGGGUGAAGAAGGCCUACGGGUUGUAAAGCCCUUUUGUUGGGAAAGAAAAGCAGCAGGUUAAUACCCCGCUGUUCUGACGGUACCCAAAGAAUAAGCACCGGCUAACUUCGUG
This 492-nucleotide ribosomal RNA is filed under the name uncultured bacterium. RNAcentral's name for it is "partial 16S ribosomal RNA". It matches the Rfam family "Bacterial small subunit ribosomal RNA", at positions 29 to 507 of the family's 1533-position model. The record is from RNAcentral.